This 71-nucleotide transfer RNA is filed under the name Phrynosoma platyrhinos (Desert horned lizard). Its description in RNAcentral is "tRNA-OTHER". The record is from RNAcentral. Lineage: Eukaryota; Metazoa; Chordata; Lepidosauria; Squamata; Phrynosomatidae.
GCAAGCGUGGCGUAAUGGUUUGAGUGUUGGACUGCCACUCUGGAGACCAAGGUUCAAUUCCCAGCUUGGCC